This 425-nucleotide ribosomal RNA is filed under the name uncultured bacterium. RNAcentral's name for it is "partial 16S ribosomal RNA". It matches the Rfam family "Bacterial small subunit ribosomal RNA", at positions 354 to 796 of the family's 1533-position model. The record is from RNAcentral.
GUGGGGAAUCUUGCGCAAUGGGCGAAAGCCUGACGCAGCCAUGCCGCGUGAAUGAUGAAGGUCUUAGGAUUGUAAAAUUCUUUCACCGGGGACGAUAAUGACGGUACCCGGAGAAGAAGCUCCGGCUAACUUCGUGCCAGCAGCCGCGGUAAUACGAAGGGGGCUAGCGUUGCUCGGAAUUACUGGGCGUAAAGGGCGCGUAGGCGGACAGCUUAGUCAGAGGUGAAAGCACAGGGCUCGACCUUGGAAUUGCCUUUGAUACUGGCUGGCUUUGGUUUGGGAGAGGAGAGUGGAACUCCGAGUGUAGAGUGGAAAUUCGUAGAUAUUCGGAAGAACACCAGUGGCGAAGGCGACUCACUGGCCCAAUACUGACGCUGAGGCGCGAAAGCGUGGGGAGCAAACAGGAUUAGAUACCCGAGUAGUCC